AACGAACGCUGGCGGCAGGCCUAACACAUGCAAGUCGAGCGCGCCCUUCGGGGUGAGCGGCGGACGGGUGAGUAACGCGUGGGAACGUGCCCUUUUCUACGGAAUAGCCUCGGGAAACUGAGAGUAAUACCGUAUACGCCCUUUGGGGGAAAGAUUUAUCGGAAAAGGAUCGGCCCGCGUUGGAUUAGGUAGUUGGUGGGGUAAUGGCCUACCAAGCCGACGAUCCAUAGCUGGUUUGAGAGGAUGAUCAGCCACACUGGGACUGAGACACGGCCCAGACCCCACCGGGGGGAGGCGGGGGGAAAUAUUAAAAAAGGGGGCCACCCUUAACCGAGCCAUGCGGGGGGAGGAAAAAAGCCUUUGGGGUUGAAAAGCCCUUUCAGGUGGAAAGAUAAGGAGGGCCCCAGAAAAAGAACCCCGGGCAACCCCCGCC
This 433-nucleotide ribosomal RNA is filed under the name uncultured bacterium. RNAcentral's name for it is "partial 16S ribosomal RNA". It matches the Rfam family "Bacterial small subunit ribosomal RNA", at positions 29 to 507 of the family's 1533-position model. The record is from RNAcentral.